RNAcentral lists this unclassified non-coding RNA (226 nucleotides) under uncultured fungus. Its description in RNAcentral is "sequence contains ITS1". The record is from RNAcentral. Lineage: Eukaryota; Fungi.
UUGUUUAUUUAAAAUAUAAACUCAGACAAUUGUAUUAAAAAUAAAGAGUUAAGGUUUCCUUUGGUGAAGACACAUCCACUUUUGACAGUCGAUGGUCCCUCUUUCUGUGAAGAAUUGAAAAACGCUUCACCAAAGUAAUAAAAAUUUGGUACACAAAGGGUGGGAGAUUUCCUGCAAGCAGGAAAAAAUCUCGGUAAUGAUCCUUCCGCAGGUUCACCUACGGAAA